RNAcentral lists this transfer RNA (86 nucleotides) under Anaerolineales bacterium. RNAcentral's name for it is "tRNA-Leu". It matches the Rfam family "tRNA". Rfam says of the family: Transfer RNA (tRNA) molecules are approximately 80 nucleotides in length. Their secondary structure includes four short double-helical elements and three loops (D, anti-codon, and T loops). Lineage: Bacteria; Bacillati; Chloroflexota; Anaerolineae; Anaerolineales. The record is from RNAcentral.
GGGGCGGUGGCGGAACGGCAGACGCUGCGGACUUAAAAUCCGCUGGACGCGAGUCCAUGAGGGUUCGAGUCCCUCCCGCCCUACUA